This 424-nucleotide ribosomal RNA is filed under the name uncultured bacterium. Its description in RNAcentral is "bacterial SSU rRNA". It matches the Rfam family "Bacterial small subunit ribosomal RNA", at positions 355 to 796 of the family's 1533-position model. The record is from RNAcentral.
UGGGGAAUCUUGCGCAAUGGGCGAAAGCCUGACGCAGCCAUGCCGCGUGAAUGAUGAAGGUCUUAGGAUUGUAAAAUUCUUUCAGCAGGGACGAUAAUGACGGUACCUGCAGAAGAAGCCCCGGCUAACUUCGUGCCAGCAGCCGCGGUAAUACGAAGGGGGCUAGCGUUGCUCGGAAUUACUGGGCGUAAAGGGCGCGUAGGCGGGUCGUUUAGUUAGAGGUGAAAGCCCAGGGCUCAACCCUGGAAUUGCCUUUAAUACUGGCGGCCUUGAGUAUGGCAGAGGUGUGUGGAACUCCGAGUGUAGAGGUGAAAUUCGUAGAUAUUCGGAAGAACACCAGUGGCGAAGGCGACACACUGGGCCAUUACUGACGCUGAGGCGCGAAAGCGUGGGGAGCAAACAGGAUUAGAUACCCCCGUAGUCC